Molecule: regulatory RNA element, 32 nt
Organism: Flaviramulus basaltis
Lineage: Bacteria; Pseudomonadati; Bacteroidota; Flavobacteriia; Flavobacteriales; Flavobacteriaceae
Rfam family: DUF805b RNA
About the family: Bacteroidetes, Chlorobi (1 example), Proteobacteria. Lineage (Flavobacteria)
Source: Rfam
AUAGCGAAAGCCGAAAAGCUAAAGAGUAGGCA